AUAAGUGCCUGAUAAAGGGUUAAUUUGAUAGAUUAAAUUAUGGGUUAUUUCUUUAUCU
Molecule: transfer RNA, 58 nt
Filed under: Phoneutria boliviensis
Lineage: Eukaryota; Metazoa; Arthropoda; Arachnida; Araneae; Ctenidae
Description: tRNA-Ile
Source: RNAcentral